Abrus precatorius (Indian licorice) is the source of this 107-nucleotide small nucleolar RNA. The record is from RefSeq and is a predicted model, not a curated record. Lineage: Eukaryota; Viridiplantae; Streptophyta; Magnoliopsida; Fabales; Fabaceae.
AAAUCAUGAUGGGAACACCUCAUCAAAAGCUCUCCAAAUCACUCUCAUGCCUCGAACAAGGAUUCUGCUUCAUAUUGUUAGAAGCAACAUAUCUCUUUCAUAAGCUU